Paramuricea clavata is the source of this 1176-nucleotide non-coding RNA. Lineage: Eukaryota; Metazoa; Cnidaria; Anthozoa; Malacalcyonacea; Plexauridae. The record is from the annotation of a GenBank genome assembly.
CAAGGUAUUGUAGCAGCUAUUGCCAUCGGGACUAGCUAACAGUCGUGGGUCGUGGGUAGAAUGUCGUGGGUCGUGGGUAGAUUGUCGUGGGUCGUGGGUAAAAAGUCGUGGGUCGUGGGUAAAAAGUCGUAAGUCGUGGGUAAAAAGGCGUGGGUCGUGGGUAAAAAGGCGUGGGUCGUGGGUAAAAAAUCGUGGGUCGCGAAUAAAAAGUCGUGAAUUCCAAGCAAAAUAUUUCCAUAUAUUUACCUUUCUCCCUUUGAAUGCGUAUUUUUUUUUCUUCUCAGGCUUUCCCAAACUAUGCCCAAAUAUGCAUAGCUUCGAGCGCGUUAAGGCCGGGUUUUUCGGAUAUCGGCAGAUCGGUUUAUAAAUAUUAUAACCAAGUGUGGAUGAAACAGUUCAACUUCACGCCCCAUAUAGUUCAAAUAUUUGGACGUUAUAAUCUUAUAGACAGAUAAAUUAGUUACUGCAAUUCUUCAAUAAGAAUAUGGCUCAAGGCCACAUGUACGAAAGCUGAGUAGCACUAUCCACUCGAUAUUAUAGUCAAAUUUUUAUAACCGGCAAUGGCAUCAUAUGUUUUCAAAGCUAUAUAUGGAACUGCGGAGUAUAGCUAACCAUUUAAUUAAUGAAAUAAUAUGACAUUCGACUUAUAUAUGGUCUUCAUGUAUAUACUAUACAAAGAAUUCGAAGAUGGCCGGUCUGCAAAAUAGUGAUGCAUCGAUAAUUUUGUUGUUGAUAUUACCGACAUCGUCGUAAACAUUACAAGAAAAUAUAUCUCUAGACCAACCAAAGUUGCUGUUAUUUAAAACUGCUGAAGUCUAUCCUAAACGAUUUCUGAAAUAUCGCAAACUACAAACGGAACAAACCUUGCAUGUAAACAAUGCUAGCUAAUGCUACUCCGGCUGUUAUUAAAUAAGCGCUGUGAAAUUUCCAAAUUCCAACUUGCCAUUGACUUCGCUGAAACUUGAUGCUCAAGAAAUAUGUAGAAGUAUACCUCUCUGUUAUCAAACCUACGGUAAAAUAAUCCGACAAAAGCAGUGGCGGCGCCAGGCUUCCAAAUUUGGGGGGGCAUUUGAGGGGCAAACUCAAAUUUUGGGGGGGCAAGAUAGAAUUUUUAAAAAGGUCGCCCCCCCAGGAAAUUCGCCCCCCCCCCUCAAAACGUGGCGAUAUUCCUAGGAA